RNAcentral lists this small nucleolar RNA (63 nucleotides) under Sander lucioperca (pikeperch). Its description in RNAcentral is "Small nucleolar RNA SNORD75 (ENSSLUG00000011241.1)". It matches the Rfam family "Small nucleolar RNA SNORD75". Rfam says of the family: U75 (SNORD75) belongs to the C/D class of snoRNAs which contain the C (UGAUGA) and D (CUGA) box motifs. Most of the members of the box C/D family function in directing site-specific 2'-O-methylation of substrate RNAs. The record is from Rfam by way of RNAcentral. Lineage: Eukaryota; Metazoa; Chordata; Actinopteri; Perciformes; Percidae.
AGUCGGUGAUGUUGUAAAGAGUAGUGGACAGAUGUGAUAUCUGAAUAAUUUCACACUGAGACU